UACGGGAGGCAGCAGUGGGGAAUAUUGCACAAUGGGCGCAAGCCUGAUGCAGCCAUGCCGCGUGUAUGAAAAAGGCCUUCGGGUUGUAAAGUACUUUCAGUCGUGAGGAAGGUGUUAAGGUUAAUAACCUUAGCAAUUGACGUUAGCGACAGAAGAAGCACCGGCUAACUCCGUGCCAGCAGCCGCGGUAAUACGGAGGGUGCGAGCGUUAAUCGGAAUUACUGGGCGUAAAGGGCACGCAGGCGGUUAAUUAAGUUGGAUGUGAAAUCCCCCGGGCUUAACCUGGGAAUGGCAUUCAAGACUGGUUAGCUAGAGUCUUGUAGAGGGGGUAGAAUUCCAUGUGUAGCGGUGAAAUGCGUAGAGAUGUGGAGGAAUACCGGUGGCGAAGGCGGCCCCUGGACAAAGACUGACGCUCAUGUGCGAAAGCGUGGGGAGCAAACAGGGAUUAGAUACC
RNAcentral lists this ribosomal RNA (454 nucleotides) under uncultured bacterium. Its description in RNAcentral is "bacterial SSU rRNA". It matches the Rfam family "Bacterial small subunit ribosomal RNA", at positions 340 to 786 of the family's 1533-position model. The record is from RNAcentral.